This is a long non-coding RNA of Saccostrea echinata, 204 nucleotides long. RefSeq lists it as uncharacterized. The record is from RefSeq and is a predicted model, not a curated record. NCBI's taxonomy places the organism in Eukaryota, Metazoa, Mollusca, Bivalvia, Ostreida, Ostreidae. The transcript has 3 exons.
UAUUUACGUGUGUCACUCGACACUGACUGCAAGAAACAAAGAGUGGAGAGCUAAUGCAUGGUGCUAAGUAUGGAAAGGUCUCUUGUGGUUUGGUUGUGCCAGAGACAUAUGUACAUUAUUUCCAUGUUGGGUCAGAAGUCUUGGUACACUUUGGGUGAGUGGCAGUUGGGAAGAUGGAUGACCUUCAGAUAAUUUGAGAUGAAG